ACGUGCGCAGGCGGUUAUAUAAGACAGAUGUGAAAUACCCCGGGCCGUCAACCUGGGAACUGCAUUUGUGACUGUAUAGCUGGAGUGCGGCAGAGGGGGAUGGAAUUCCGCGUGUAGCAGUGAAAUGCGUAGAUAUGCGGAGGAACACCGAUGGCGAAGGCAAUCCCCUGGGCCUGCACUGACGCUCAUGCACGAAAGCGUGGGGAGCAAACAGGAUUAGAUACCCUAGU
RNAcentral lists this ribosomal RNA (230 nucleotides) under uncultured bacterium. RNAcentral describes it as "partial 16S ribosomal RNA". It matches the Rfam family "Bacterial small subunit ribosomal RNA", at positions 567 to 791 of the family's 1533-position model. The record is from RNAcentral.